This 889-nucleotide ribosomal RNA is filed under the name uncultured bacterium. Its description in RNAcentral is "bacterial SSU rRNA". It matches the Rfam family "Bacterial small subunit ribosomal RNA", at positions 28 to 897 of the family's 1533-position model. The record is from RNAcentral.
AACGAACGCUGGCGGCGUGCCUAACACAUGCAAGUCGAACGUGAAAGUCCUUCGGGAUGAGUAAAGUGGCGCACGGGUGAGUAAUGCGUAGAUAAUCUGCCUGGUGAUCUGGGAUAACAUCUCGAAAGGGGUGCUAAUACCGGAUAAGCCCACGGGGUCUUCGGAUCUUGCGGGAAAAGGGGGGGACCUUCGGGCCUUCUGUCAUCAGAUGAGUCUACGUACCAUUAGCUAGUUGGUAGGGUAAAGGCCUACCAAGGCGACGAUGGUUAGCUGGUCUGAGAGGAUGAUCAGCCACACUGGAACUGAGACACGGUCCAGACUCCUACGGGAGGCAGCAGUGGGGAAUUUUGCGCAAUGGGGGAAACCCUGACGCAGCAACGCCGCGUGAGUGAUGAAGGCCUUCGGGUCGUAAAGCUCUGUCAGAGGGAAAGAAAUGUGGGGCGCUAAUACCGCUACCACUUGACGGUACCCUCAAAGGAAGCACCGGCUAACUCCGUGCCAGCAGCCGCGGUAAUACGGAGGGUGCGAGCGUUGUUCGGAAUUAUUGGGCGUAAAGCGCGUGUAGGCGGUUUUAUAAGUCUGAUGUGAAAGCCCCGGGCUCAACCUGGGAAGUGCAUUGGAUACUGUAAGACUUGAGUACGGGAGAGGGCAGUGGAAUUCCUAGUGUAGGAGUGAAAUCCGUAGAUAUUAGGAGGAACACCGGUGGCGAAGGCGGCUGCCUGGACCGAUACUGACGCUGAGACGCGAAAGCGUGGGUAGCAAACAGGAUUAGAUACCCUGGUAGUCCACGCCGUAAACGAUGAGUACUAGGUGUUGCGGGUAUUGACCCCUGCAGUGCCGCAGCUAACGCAUUAAGUACUCCGCCUGGGAAGUACGGUCGCAAGACUAA